This 21-nucleotide unclassified non-coding RNA is filed under the name Chlamydomonas reinhardtii. RNAcentral describes it as "small RNA Cre_3769". The record is from RNAcentral. Lineage: Eukaryota; Viridiplantae; Chlorophyta; Chlorophyceae; Chlamydomonadales; Chlamydomonadaceae.
UUAUGGCGCUUAGCGUAGUGC